GACUGUAGCAUCUCGGUUCAAACCUCUUCCAGGGAACAUGAUCUGGUUUAUGAAGAGAGAAUGGCAGGAUUCCUAUGAAGAGCCAUGUGUUUACUUGUGUUUUAUUUUUGUAGACAUUAUUUUUCACAUGUGAAUAUGAUGAAAUGAGGUGGGCAGCUGUAACUUGGGGGUUUGGCUCAUUUGUUUUGGGAAGAUGCUUGUCUUUAAUGAGAUUUUAUUUUGGGCUCUAGUAAAGCUCACUUUAAAAUCCUGAUAAAAGCAAAUUUGCAAUGCAGAAACUCCAGACUUAAUGAUGGUUUUGUGUGGGAGCUUGGCUUGCAUCACUCAUGCAAACUGCUCUGUAGAGCUGUACCCUUGACCUAACGAAGUUACUAAUGCUCAUGUGUGAGUAGGCGGCCAGCCACCAAAGGAGGCUUGAACCACAUCCUUGGUUAGAGGUUUUCACAAGUCUUUGUCAGGAAUACUAGUGCUCAGACAUGUGUUAUACUGCCAAGGUCUUCCGAGGAGGUUUUGCCUGAGGUGCUUUCGGUGCUUCUGACUACUCAGAACAUUUGUGUUUAUUCUUGCAUUGUUCUUGUUUGUCUUUGCCUCUCCCCCAGGUCAGGAUGCUGUCUGGACCAGUCUGCGCUGUCGGCAUACCAGCAGGUGGAGCGUUGGUAACAACAUACUGCUGAGUCCCUCCAGCAUUUAGGGAUUGCCAUGUAAGUCCUGCUCAGCUGAUUUCAGUGGAGGUGGAGUCUCCUGACUCUGUUUGGCAUGGAAGCCUGUGGGAAUUGCUCCAUCUUUACAUGCAGCGUUAACGAAAAGUGCCAAAGGAUAGUUUCAGACAUGCAGUUGGUGUGAACUUUGCAGAGGGAAAGGCAUCUUGGUGUUCCUCUGCUGGUUUAUCCAAAUGCCAGUUUCCUGCAAGGCAUGGAAGUAUUGAAGCUAAUCCAAAAUAGUUAUGAAGUUGAUACUAGCUUUAAGGGAGCAUGAUUUUGCCAAAUUCCUUCUCUUUGCUGGUUUUUUACUGUGUCAUUGAGAUACACAGCUUGCUUAUGUUACUGUUUCCCACUCUGAACAUUGAUGCCGGAGGUCUUGAGUAUUGCUGUCUCUUUCCUUUUUUGGGGGGUGGUGGGGAAAGGUUCCUGUUGUGGUUAAGCAAUUCACCUCUAUUGAUUUAACACUAUAUUGCCACCAGAACAAGCAGUCCUGGCCUAUACAGCACCUUCUUCCUGGGUCCUAAGGAUUGUAGUGCUAUCCAGUGACUGACAUCAGCUACCUGCUGUAGCAGAAAACUGAUGUGGUUGUCUUUUCUUUUCCAGGAUUAUUUUGCAGCUAAUACAGUGCUUGUCCAAACAACUGGCCCCAUGAACCAUGGCAUAAAAUUCCUGUAACAAUGGAGGAAGUAGGAGUCCCUCAGCUGGAAGCCAGGGAGAGCAGGACUGUACUUCUGCCUCAGUGCUCUUACCGUGUUCAACGUAAACCAUCCUGAGAGUGCACCAUCAGUCAGGCUCUGUGGCGUGAGUAUUCUCUUCAUGUUGUUGGAAUGGUCAUUGUGUAACAGCCUACUUCUUUAAGAUAAUUACAAAGCAAUCCUAAAUUGCACUGAAUGAUGUUCUUAUUGCGCAGUUGUUUUCCAUUUGAGGUGUGACAAAGGUCUCUGCUACAUGUGAUUGUUGCAUUCAUGCAUUAAUCUGUAGAUAUGCAUAGGAUUUAAGUGUUUAGAUCCUUUGCCUUAAAAUACAGCUAAUGAAAAUUGCUUCAGAUGAAUUUUGGAGUAACUGGGUUAUCUCCAGAAUGCCUAUCACUAUAGGCUGGAUAGGGACAUUCUUUGCUGCUGAACAUGCCAAUUGACUUCCUUUGGGUAAAACAAAAUUGAAGGGUGUGCUUCUGGGCUUGGCUAAUGCGUUUGGUUUAAGGCUGUUUAGACCAUAGGUAGGUCUAGAGCAAGUUCUGAAAUGAGAUCAUGUGGAAUAUAUGUAGCUUGAAUAUUGUCUUCAGCACGAGCUGUUUUGUUUUGCUGAUCUCUUGCAGUGCACUACCCACUAAUGUGGGUGUAGGGUUUUGUUGUUUGGUUUUUAUUUUAGAUGAAUGCAUUGGUUAGUUAACCAAAAGAAACACACCAGGUAAUGCAAGAAAGAGAGUUCAUUUUAGCUACUAGGUCUUAUUGAUUGAGAGGUACUCAUUCUUGUUUUGAAGCUUGGUGACAGCAUGAGAUAACUGAAGAUUCGCAGGCCCAAAGGAUCCAAAAAGCAGGAUUAUAGUGUCAGAUUGGAGGAUCUUCGGAAUCUUAUACUUAAGGAUGCCUUUAAAAAGAUGGAGCUCAUUUUCUACAGACAGCUUUGUCAUCUUGGACCAGAGAUUCAGGUUACUUUGAAAGAAGAAAAGGCAAACCAUGGGCCUAACUUAGGAACUGGAAGGCUCUUCAGAAUACCAAGGAGACAUGUCAUGUACAGUUUGAAGCCAUUACCCCUUGU
This is a long non-coding RNA of Strigops habroptila (Kakapo), 2459 nucleotides long. RefSeq lists it as uncharacterized. The record is from RefSeq and is a predicted model, not a curated record. NCBI's taxonomy places the organism in Eukaryota, Metazoa, Chordata, Aves, Psittaciformes, Psittacidae. The transcript has 3 exons.